RNAcentral lists this ribosomal RNA (338 nucleotides) under Notoacmea pileopsis. Its description in RNAcentral is "partial 12S ribosomal RNA". Lineage: Eukaryota; Metazoa; Mollusca; Gastropoda; Acmaeidae. The record is from RNAcentral.
AGACUAAUCCUCCCAGGGGAACCUGGCCCUUAAUUCGAUGAUCCACGAAACUCUUACCUUUCCUAGUCUUACUCUUAACUUCUAGUUUUGAGAAGGUUCAGCUCGCAUACCGCCGUUUUUAGGUAGUACAGAGAUGGGAAAAAAACUAUCGACUCAGUCAAGGCUUGAAUAGCUGACCGCAACUAAUUCAGGUAAACGUGUGGCCUAUGGAAAGGGGAAGCUGGGUUACAAUUGAAACUUGGAAUAGAGCUGUUUUUCUAAGAAUUAAGCAAAAGAGGACUUGGAAGUAAUGCCCCCAUCAAAUAAAAGGUGGCAUGAAUAGAAGCUCUAUCCUGCGU